UGCACUAGGGGUGCCCGGUUGGGCUGAGAUUAAACCCUAAACCUGAUCCAGGUAAUGCUGGCGGAGGGAAGAUGCUUUU
Molecule: non-coding RNA, 79 nt
Filed under: uncultured Ezakiella sp.
Lineage: Bacteria; Bacillati; Bacillota; Tissierellia
Description: TPP riboswitch (THI element)
Rfam family: TPP riboswitch aptamer (THI element) (bases 5-71)
About the family: Vitamin B(1) in its active form thiamin pyrophosphate (TPP) is an essential coenzyme that is synthesised by coupling of pyrimidine and thiazole moieties in bacteria. The previously detected thiamin-regulatory element, thi box was extended, resulting in a new, highly conserved RNA secondary structure, the THI element, which is widely distributed in eubacteria and also occurs in some archaea.
Source: RNAcentral